Molecule: non-coding RNA, 109 nt
Organism: Tribolium castaneum (red flour beetle)
Lineage: Eukaryota; Metazoa; Arthropoda; Insecta; Coleoptera; Tenebrionidae
Source: RefSeq, marked provisional
AAAAACAUUUGUCUAAUAAAUAAAUCUUGAGACGUUUUUUUAAACUUGUUAAGACAUUAUGAGCGAGAGUGAGAUAUUGUCGGAAGAUUGUUUUUAUGAAAGUGAACAG